GCGAGAUGAUGAUGAUCAACCGAUAAAUUUCAUGAAUGGAAAAAAUCCUCCUACUCAUUCUGA
Molecule: small nucleolar RNA, 63 nt
Filed under: Thalictrum thalictroides
Lineage: Eukaryota; Viridiplantae; Streptophyta; Magnoliopsida; Ranunculales; Ranunculaceae
Description: Small nucleolar RNA Z105
Rfam family: Small nucleolar RNA Z105
About the family: This family consists of several snoRNA Z105 sequences which are members of the C/D class of snoRNA which contain the C (UGAUGA) and D (CUGA) box motifs.
Source: Rfam by way of RNAcentral